UUCAGCUGAAGUCUACCACUGACAGCGCAAAGUCCCACCUCUUCAGCCUGUGUUCCUCGCCACUAAGAACUGGCCCUGCCUUUACAUUACAAGCAGCCAAGCAGCCCAGGAGCCUCCCUGCCCUCAACCAGACUCGAUUGCCCAGAAUUGCCAGAUUGACCUUGCUUGCUGGCCUCUGCUGCUUGGCUGUGGGACCUUGGACAAGUUACUUAACUUCUUUAUGCAUCCAUUUCUGGAACCCCAAAAAGGGACUUCUUGCCAUCUUUGCAGCUGGGCCUGCCACCCCUCCCCCAGACCUUGCUCCUCAGCUGGAAACUCAGCACUGUUUUGCAGUUUUCACCCCGCGCAGUCUUUUUCCACCUGCAGGUUGAUGUGAGCUCUAUCUGCUGUGUUGUUCUGCCAACCCGUGAGAACAGUCCAGGGUGAGUGCUGCUGCCAUCAGAUCUGCAAAUUGACUGUUCCUGAAGCA
Long non-coding RNA from Sciurus carolinensis (gray squirrel), 469 nucleotides. RefSeq lists it as uncharacterized. The transcript is spliced from 4 exons. The record is from RefSeq and is a predicted model, not a curated record. Lineage: Eukaryota; Metazoa; Chordata; Mammalia; Rodentia; Sciuridae.